This 579-nucleotide long non-coding RNA is filed under the name Elaeis guineensis (African oil palm). Its description in RNAcentral is "long non-coding RNA (EGUI_LNC081583)". Lineage: Eukaryota; Viridiplantae; Streptophyta; Magnoliopsida; Arecales; Arecaceae. The record is from RNAcentral.
UCUCGACAGUUGGGCACUUCAGCUUUGGCACAGGGAUCCACAUCACAUGAUGUAUCUGAUCAGACUUUGAUCCCUCACAUCUCCACUGUCUUCCAGAUGAUUUCAGAUCAGUCAGUUUGCAUUCAGCAGCUUGAGGGUUAUAUAUUGAGACUGACUGGGAGGGUACUUGACUUGCAGGGGCAAGUGUUAGCUCUGGCAUAUCCACAGCCACAGGAGUGCAUCACUGAGGUCUCAGACCUAUCUAUGGAGGCAGCCAGACUUAGAGGAGUUUUGGAGAGUGGAUUUGAUUUCCUGAGGAGAGAGAUCAGAGGCUCUAGUGAGCAUGCAUCCACCCAGUUCACUGCACUGCUAUAGUCUGUUUUGAGAGCUCUGAACCUUCUGGACACCAUCAGACUCUCUCUUGCAGUUCAGUCUGUUGCUUCUCAGCCUUCAGGAUCAUCUCGCCCGCCCACUCGUGCCGGCACCUCCACUCAUGGCAGAGGCAGACGGGGUAGAGGACGAGCCCUUGGUCAUGAUCCUUCAUCUCCCCACCCUAUCUUCGAUUCAUCUGACUCUGAUCCAUCCAGUCAUGAUCUCUAC